AAUAUUUUAGUUGGAUAACUGAGGUAAUUCUUGAGCUAAUACACGCUAUUUAUACCACAUUAGUGGUGCGUUUAUUUGAUUAAACCAUUAUAUAACGGUUGACUCAAAAUAUCCUUGCUGAUUUUGUUACUAAAACAUACCGUAUGUGUAUCUGGUUUAUCAACUUUCGAUGGUAGGGUAUUGGCCUACCAUGGUUGUGACGGAUAACGGAGAAUUAGGGUUCGACUCCGGAGAGGGAGCCUGAGAAACGGCUACCACAUCCAAGGAAGGCAGCAGGCGCGAAAAUUACCCAAUUUUAGUUCAAAGAGGUAGUGACGAAAAAUGACAACCAAAUAUUAUUAUUAAUAUUUGGAUUGAAAAUCUUCAAGUUUAAAUAACUUGUUGGUAAAGGAAAGGGCAAGUCUGGUGCCAGCAGCCGCGGUAAUACCAGCUUU
Molecule: ribosomal RNA, 434 nt
Filed under: Strongyloides fuelleborni
Lineage: Eukaryota; Metazoa; Nematoda; Chromadorea; Rhabditida; Strongyloididae
Description: SSU rRNA
Rfam family: Eukaryotic small subunit ribosomal RNA
Source: RNAcentral